RNAcentral lists this long non-coding RNA (4274 nucleotides) under Homo sapiens (human). Its description in RNAcentral is "HSALNT0245012". The record is from RNAcentral. Lineage: Eukaryota; Metazoa; Chordata; Mammalia; Primates; Hominidae.
GGCACAUUGGCAGCCCAGCGCUCUGGAUGCCUCCCAGAAGCCUGAGUGGCGGUGGCGGGGGCAUCUGUUCACUGAAGGAAGGGCAGAGAGAAAAGAAUGGGCACUUAUUGAUUUUCUUCGAUAUGCCAGGCACCAGGCCAGGCCCCUUUGAUGCAUGAUCUCAUCAUGUAAAUAUAGGAUGGUGGUCAGGAGAUCAGCUUCCAAAAUUGACAGAACUGGGUUAGAAUUCCAGCUCCCCCAGUUUCUGGCUGGGUAGCACUGGGCAAGUGGGUUCACCCGCCUAAGCCUGACUUUGUUCCUCUGUAAAGUGUUUAUAAUCAAAGCGCCUUCCUCCAAGAGGUCCUUUCUCUAAAGCACACAGCAGCAUGCUGACCCAACAGGACGUACCCCGUGAACAUUAACGCCUUCUGUUAUGAACGACCAUGUGAUGCAGAAAAAAUCAUGCCCUGAUUUUUGGUAGACGCAGCGGCCAAAGCCUAAGAUGUGAAGAAACUCACCUGAGGCCACUAAAUUGGAAAGUGGCCGCGCGGAGAUGCAGUGCAUUGCUUUAGGACUGGACAGAUGAAAUCAGCAUCUUCCCAAACUUCUCUGCUGGAAGACUGUCUGGAAUAUCUCCCCUUGGCCCUCUGGGGGAUGCUGCCCACUCCACAGGGCUCCCUGAAGCUCUGUCUGAUUAUAAAGGUAAUACCUUCCAACAGAAAUACACAGCUGGGUUAUAGGAAAUGGAUAACAGAUGAUUCCUAGGAAAAUCAAGGUUUCAGAUGAAAAACCUGCACAAUUUCUGGGGGUGCAAGGUUUCCAGAGCCAGGAUUCUGGAAGGCUCCAGCCUCCAGCCCUCCCUCCCUAACCCAGAGGGAGGGCAAGAAGCAAACUAAAUGGGUUCUGAAGUGGGAAACAAAUUGGAUUUUUAAAAAAUGCUCUGGUUCUAAUGAUCGAAGAGGUUAUUCAUAAUCCUGGAGUAGAAAGCGUAUCUUGAAAUCUAUGUUUUGUGUUGACAGCUUCUCCCUAAUGGGCAAGAUCUCACACAUGAUAGAGCCAUAAAAUGUGGCACUCCUGGCUGGCCCUGCUGCUUGUCUGAUAAGGGAGAUGGAGGGACUCGCCAGCACAGGCAGAGGGCCCUGGGUCUUACCCCGCCCCUGUGCCUCCUCCCGACUCCAGCUGGUCUCGGCUUCCAGCAUGUUGGAAGGCCUGUUCUGCAGAACCCAAAGCCCGUGUUUUGCAAUGAUGAGGAUUCCAUGUUCAAGAAAGGCUGGGAAAUCUCUCCCCUCCUAGGGAUUCAAAACACCCAUGAGCACAGUCAUGGCUGUGAGGAGGCUUCCACUAAAGAAAACCUGGUAAGCUAUGCUCGACCCGGUUGUUCUCAGACUCCUUUGACUGCAGAACCCUGUUUUCACACAAGCCCUAUUGACGUCCUACAGAACAAAUGCUUUCCAGAACCUACGAUGCGUCAUAUAACAGUAUCCUUUUCCUAGGGCUACUCUAUCAAAACACCACAGACUGGGGGGCUUAAAUAACAGAAAUUCCUUCUCUCACAGUUUUGGAGGUUGGGAGUCUGAGAUCAAGGUGUAGGCAGGGUUGGCGACUUGGCUGUCUUCUCCCUGUGUCCUCCCAUGGUCCUCCCUCUGCACAUGUCUCUGUCCACAUAUCCUCUUCUUAUAAGGACACCAGUCAUGCUGGAUUAGGGCCCACCUCAGUGGCCUCGGUUUACCUUGAUUAUCUUUUUAAAGACCCUAUUGCCAAAAAUGGUAACAUUUGGAGGUGCUGGGAGUUAGUAUGUCAACAUAUGAAUUUGGAGGGGACCCAUUUCCGCUCAUAACAGUAGCAGUGGGCCUUGGCACUAUGAAACUUGGUAUUGGGGGGACCAUGAGGAGAGCAGAAAGGUAGGUAAGUGGGCAGGGCAUGGCUGCUGCCUGACCCUCUGCAUGCUUCCCAUUGCAACAGUAAUGACAUUAACACUAACUGCAUUUUCACACCUGGAAUCCCAGCAUUUUGGGAGGCUGAGGCAGGUGGAUCACUUGAAGCCAGGAGUUUGAGACCAGCCUAACCAACAUGGUGAAACCCCGUCUCUACUAAAAAUAUAAAAAUUAGCUGGGCAUGGUCGUGGGCACCUGUAAUACCAGCUACUUGGGAGGCUGAGGCAGGAGAAUCACCUGAACCCAGGAGGCAGAGGUUGCAGUGAGCCGAGAUCACAUCACUGCACUCCAGCCUGGGCAACAGAGCGAGACUCUGUCUCAAAAGAAAAAAAUAUAUAUAAAACCAGGAAGUGCAUUUGCCAGAUAUUUAUGCAUUACAAGUACUUUUCCAUCCAUCAAUUAAUGUGAUCCUUUUAACAACCUGUAAGGUUGGAGGUUCUACAGUUAUUUCCACUUAACAGAGAAGGAUGCCUGCACUCAGAAAGGUUGAGUCACUGGUUUGAAGUCACCCAGUAAAUAGUGAAGUCAAGGACUAAACCCAGGUGGACUUAAAGAACCAGUCCCGAGGAUUAAUGGAGGAUUGAUUCCCUGCCCUCCCUAAGAUGGAACCCGCAGUUGCUGGCAGCAGAAGCAAGAGUCAUCUCAGAAGGGCUCUGAGGGCCCCUGCCAGGCAGAGCCCGAGUUCCCACAGGUGGCAUUUACCCUGACGAAUCUGGGCCCAGGCUGAGGCCCACCUCACUUCUCGCCAGCCUGGAUGGAGAGCUGUUCCCCUGAGCUUCCCAAGUGUUUUCAGAUGAGUGGAUCCUGCUGGCUGCUCUAGGCACCUGCCCAUUUGUGCUGAAAGCCAACCAGCUGUGAAAGGUUGCAGAUUUCUGAGCUGUCCCAGGGGUCGGGUGUGGCGGAACGGGGACACAGACCGAGACCACCCCAGCUUUCCUGGACUCAUCUCAGAAACAGAGGCAGGCCCAGCAGUGAGCAUUCUUCAAGAAUGAGCAACCCAGGUCCAGGCUGACUGCGAGCGGGACCAGAGAAUUUGCUACUUGGAAGGCAGGAGAGGGUGGCGACUGGGUUAGCAGCUCCAGGAAACCAGCUGACUCACUUUGACCAUGUCCAUCCUGGCCUGGCCACCUGCUAUUUGCUUCCUUGGUGCCUCUUGAAAAAGUUUGAUGACCAGGUAAAACCCUUGCCUGCCACGCCCGGAGGCUGGCUCUUCAUGAAUUCUUCCUCUUGGUCAGAAGAUGCAACUCUCUAGGUGACCAGGCCUGUGCCCGCAGGCCUUGUGCCUCCCCUGGACUCACUGGGCACUCCUGCUGCACAUCUAGUCAAAGAUGCUUGGCAAAGGAAGGGCAGAUCACUGGGAGGGACGGACCCGGAGACCAGUCCUGACCCCAGAUUCUGAGCUGUGGAGCCCGGGGCAGCGGAUUUGUUGCCUUCACCUCAGGUUCAUCUUGGUACAAUGGGGCUCAUGAAUAAAUGUCAAGGUCAUUGUGAAGGUCCCAUUAAAGGAGAGGUAAAAAGCUCUUUGCAAAACUUCAAAACAGCUAUGUAAAUGAGGGUUGUUAAAAGAGCCCAGGAGGCAGAGGGGGAGGAAGGCUGGGGGACCAGCCGUAAACUACUAACUGGUGCAGUGCCAGCGGCUACCUAGAUGAGGCUGGGUGGGCACCGCACCAGGCAGGACUCACCCUCAACCUCCAGAGGGGCUUAGAAGAGGAGGUCCAUGAAAGAAUCCGAGUCUCCGGUGGUUGUGUGCCCAGAAAUACCUGGAACCACCGCAGAACCUGUACACUGGCCAAUCCCAGGGGGCACUAUCCCUGGAUACUCUCCCAUGCAUGGUGAAUAAGGUGCAGUGGCUGAGACCCUCAGGGAAAGGAACCCUCCACCAUGUGCCAUUUCCUCUUCCCAGGACUCUCUCUGACUCUGCCCCAGGCAGGGAUGGGACCGACCCCUGGGAACCUGGUGUGGCAGCGGUGGGGAUCACCCAGCAGAGGUUCAGGGAGUCACCCCUCACUCUCGCAGGAAGCUCACUCGUGUCAGUGGGUGGUUCAGUUCUGGAACAUUUCUCUAGAGAGGGGGGCCCGGAAGUCCCCCAGCUGGCUUCUUUAGGGCAGGCUGGGGCUAGGGAGAGGACAGCGAGGCCCAGGGUGUGGAUGUAAGCAGGCACUCACACUCAUGGGCCUGCCUGCAUGAGACUGACAGAGAGCGGUGCCUUAGAUUCCAGGGACUUCUCUUGCCUCACCCACAUGCCAGCCCUGCUUUUGGGAACCUCCCUUUUCAAGUUCUCUACUAAAUGACACCACCCACUGCCCAUCAUAACUCAUCCUAUCCUACAAGGUUAAAAUCGUUCAAGUCCUUGGCUGGGCA